CCUACGGUAGGCAGCAGUGAGGAAUAUUGGUCAAUGGACGCAAGUCUGAACCAGCCAUGCCGCGUGCAGGAAGACGGCUCUAUGAGUUGUAAACUGCUUUUGUACGAGGGUAAACGCAGAUACGCGUAUCUGUCUGAAAGUAUCGUACGAAUAAGGAUCGGCUAACUCCGUGCCAGCAGCCGCGGUAAUACGGAGGAUUCAAGCGUUAUCCGGCUUUAUUGGGUUUAACGGGUGCGUAGGCGGUCGGAUAAGUUAGAGGUGAAAUCCCGAGGCUCAACUUCGGAAUUGCCUCUAAUACUGUUCGGCUAGAGAGUAGUUGUGGUAGGCGGAAUGUAUGGUGUAGCGGUGAAAUGCUUAGAGAUCAUACAGAACACCGAUUGCGAAGGCAGCUUACCAAGCUACUUCUGACGUUGAGGCACGAAAGCGUGGGGAGCAAACAGGAUUAGAUACCCGUGUAGUC
RNAcentral lists this ribosomal RNA (460 nucleotides) under uncultured bacterium. Its description in RNAcentral is "partial 16S ribosomal RNA". It matches the Rfam family "Bacterial small subunit ribosomal RNA", at positions 338 to 795 of the family's 1533-position model. The record is from RNAcentral.